Molecule: ribosomal RNA, 433 nt
Filed under: uncultured bacterium
Lineage: Bacteria
Description: partial 16S ribosomal RNA
Rfam family: Bacterial small subunit ribosomal RNA
Source: RNAcentral
AACGAACGCUGGCGGCAGGCCUAACACAUGCAAGUCGAGCGAGGACUUCGGUCCUAGCGGCGGACGGGUGAGUAACGCGUGGGAACGUGCCCUUUGCUUCGGAAUAGCCCUGGGAAACUGGGAGUAAUACCGGAUGAGCCCUUUGGGGGAAAGAUUUAUCGGCGAAGGAUCGGCCCGCGUUGGAUUAGGUAGUUGGUGGGGUAAUGGCCUACCAAGCCGACGAUCCAUAGCUGGUUUGAGAGGAUGAUCAGCCACACUGGGACUGAGACACGGCCCAGACUCCUACGGGAGGCAGCAGUGGGGAAUCUUAGACAAUGGGGGAAACCCUGAUCUAGCCAUGCCGCGUGAGCGAUGAAGGCCUUAGGGUUGUAAAGCUCUUUCAGCUGGAAAGAUAAUGACGGUACCAGCAGAAGAAGCCCCGGCUAACUCCGUG